This 253-nucleotide ribosomal RNA is filed under the name uncultured bacterium. Its description in RNAcentral is "partial 16S ribosomal RNA". It matches the Rfam family "Bacterial small subunit ribosomal RNA", at positions 524 to 776 of the family's 1533-position model. The record is from RNAcentral.
UACGGAGGGUGCAAGCGUUAUCCGGAUUCACUGGGUUUAAAGGGUGCGUAGGUGGGGCUGUAAGUCAGUGGUGAAAUCUCCAAGCUUAACUUGGAAACUGCCGUUGAUACUAUAGCUCUUGAAUGUUGUGGAGGUGAGCGGAAUAUGUCAUGUAGCGGUGAAAUGCUUAGAUAUGACAUAGAACACCAAUUGCGAAGGCAGCUUACUACACGAUCAUUGACGCUGAGGCACGAAAGCGUGGGGAGCAAACAGG